This 1583-nucleotide ribosomal RNA is filed under the name Escherichia coli. Its description in RNAcentral is "partial 23S ribosomal RNA". It matches the Rfam family "Bacterial large subunit ribosomal RNA", at positions 1292 to 2853 of the family's 2925-position model. Lineage: Bacteria; Pseudomonadati; Pseudomonadota; Gammaproteobacteria; Enterobacterales; Enterobacteriaceae. RNAcentral also lists the same sequence under 1 other name. The record is from RNAcentral.
GAAUGCUGACAUAAGUAACGAUAAAGCGGGUGAAAAGCCCGCUCGCCGGAAGACCAAGGGUUCCUGUCCAACGUUAAUCGGGGCAGGGUGAGUCGACCCCUAAGGCGAGGCCGAAAGGCGUAGUCGAUGGGAAACAGGUUAAUAUUCCUGUACUUGGUGUUACUGCGAAGGGGGGACGGAGAAGGCUAUGUUGGCCGGGCGACGGUUGUCCCGGUUUAAGCGUGUAGGCUGGUUUUCCAGGCAAAUCCGGAAAAUCAAGGCUGAGGCGUGAUGACGAGGCACUACGGUGCUGAAGCGACAAAUGCCCUGCUUCCAGGAAAAGCCUCUAAGCAUCAGGUAACAUCAAAUCGUACCCCAAACCGACACAGGUGGUCAGGUAGAGAAUACCAAGGCGCUUGAGAGAACUCGGGUGAAGGAACUAGGCAAAAUGGUGCCGUAACUUCGGGAGAAGGCACGCUGAUAUGUAGGUGAAGCGACUUGCUCGUGGAGCUGAAAUCAGUCGAAGAUACCAGCUGGCUGCAACUGUUUAUUAAAAACACAGCACUGUGCAAACACGAAAGUGGACGUAUACGGUGUGACGCCUGCCCGGUGCCGGAAGGUUAAUUGAUGGGGUUAGCGGUAACGCGAAGCUCUUGAUCGAAGCCCCGGUAAACGGCGGCCGUAACUAUAACGGUCCUAAGGUAGCGAAAUUCCUUGUCGGGUAAGUUCCGACCUGCACGAAUGGCGUAAUGAUGGCCAGGCUGUCUCCACCCGAGACUCAGUGAAAUUGAACUCGCUGUGAAGAUGCAGUGUACCCGCGGCAAGACGGAAAGACCCCGUGAACCUUUACUAUAGCUUGACACUGAACAUUGAGCCUUGAUGUGUAGGAUAGGUGGGAGGCUUUGAAGUGUGGACGCCAGUCUGCAUGGAGCCGACCUUGAAAUACCACCCUUUAAUGUUUGAUGUUCUAACGUGGGCCCCUUACCGGGGUUGCGGACAGUGUCUGGUGGGUAGUUUGACUGGGGCGGUCUCCUCCUAAAGAGUAACGGAGGAGCACGAAGGUUGGCUAAUCCUGGUCGGACAUCAGGAGGUUAGUGCAAUGGCAUAAGCCAGCUUGACUGCGAGCGUGACGGCGCGAGCAGGUGCGAAAGCAGGUCAUAGUGAUCCGGUGGUUCUGAAUGGAAGGGCCAUCGCUCAACGGAUAAAAGGUACUCCGGGGAUAACAGGCUGAUACCGCCCAAGAGUUCAUAUCGACGGCGGUGUUUGGCACCUCGAUGUCGGCUCAUCACAUCCUGGGGCUGAAGUAGGUCCCAAGGGUAUGGCUGUUCGCCAUUUAAAGUGGUACGCGAGCUGGGUUUAGAACGUCGUGAGACAGUUCGGUCCCUAUCUGCCGUGGGCGCUGGAGAACUGAGGGGGGCUGCUCCUAGUACGAGAGGACCGGAGUGGACGCAUCACUGGUGUUCGGGUUGUCAUGCCAAUGGCACUGCCCGGUAGCUAAAUGCGGAAGAGAUAAGUGCUGAAAGCAUCUAAGCACGAAACUUGCCCCGAGAUGAGUUCUCCCUGACUCCUUGAGAGUCCUGAAGGAACGUUGAAGACGACGACGU